GACGAACGCUGGCGGCGUGCUUAACACAUGCAAGUCGAACGGAAAGGCCCUGCUUUUGUGGGGUGCUCGAGUGGCGAACGGGUGAGUAACACGUGAGUAACCUGCCCUUGACUUUGGGAUAACUUCAGGAAACUGGGGCUAAUACCGGAUAGGAGCUCCUGCUGCAUGGUGGGGGUUGGAGAGUUUCGGCGGUUGGGGAUGGACUCGCGGCUUAUCAGCUUGUUGGUGGGGUAGUGGCUUACCAAGGCUUUGACGGGUAGCCGGCCUGAGAGGGUGACCGGCCACAUUGGGACUGAGGUACGGCCCAGACGCCUACGGGAGGCAGCAGUGGGGAAUAUUGCACAAUGGGCGGAAGCCUGAUGCAGCAACGCCGCGUGCGGGAUGACGGCCUUCGGGUUGUAAACCGCUUUCGCCUGUGACGAAGCGUGAGUGACGGUAAUGGGUAAAGAAACACCGGCUAACUACGUG
Molecule: ribosomal RNA, 468 nt
Filed under: uncultured bacterium
Lineage: Bacteria
Description: partial 16S ribosomal RNA
Rfam family: Bacterial small subunit ribosomal RNA
Source: RNAcentral